This 788-nucleotide ribosomal RNA is filed under the name uncultured bacterium. RNAcentral describes it as "bacterial SSU rRNA". It matches the Rfam family "Bacterial small subunit ribosomal RNA", at positions 61 to 862 of the family's 1533-position model. The record is from RNAcentral.
GUCGAACGAGCGAGAGAGAGCUUGCUUUCUCGAGCGAGUGGCGAACGGGUGAGUAACGCGUGAGGAACCUGCCUCAAAGAGGGGGACAACAGUUGGAAACGACUGCUAAUACCGCAUAAGCCCACGGCUCGGCAUCGAGCAGAGGGAAAAGGAGCAAUCCGCUUUGAGAUGGCCUCGCGUCCGAUUAGCUAGUUGGUGAGGUAAUGGCCCACCAAGGCGACGAUUGGUAGCCGGACUGAGAGGUUGAACGGCCACAUUGGGACUGAGACACGGCCCAGACUCCUACGGGAGGCAGCAGUGGGGAAUAUUGCACAAUGGGGGAAACCCUGAUGCAGCGACGCCGCGUGGAGGAAGAAGGUCUUCGGAUUGUAAACUCCUGUUGUUGAGGAAGAUAAUGACGGUACUCAACAAGGAAGUGACGGCUAACUACGUGCCAGCAGCCGCGGUAAAACGUAGGUCACAAGCGUUGUCCGGAAUUACUGGGUGUAAAGGGAGCGCAGGCGGGAAGACAAGUUGGAAGUGAAAUCCAUGGGCUUAACCCAUGAACUGCUUUCAAAACUGUUUUUCUUGAGUAGUGCAGAGGUAGGCGGAAUUCCCGGUGUAGCGGUGGAAUGCGUAGAUAUCGGGAGGAACACCAGUGGCGAAGGCGGCCUACUGGGCACCAACUGACGCUGAGGCUCGAAAGUGUGGGUAGCAAACAGGAUUAGAUACCCUGGUAGUCCACACUGUAAACGAUGAUUACUAGGUGUUGGAGGAUUGACCCCUUCAGUGCCGCAGUUAACACAAUA